GACAGAGGGUGCAAACGUUGUUCGGCCUUACUGGGCGUAAAGCGUGUGUAGGCGGUCGUGUAAGUCGGGUGUGAAAGCCCGGGGCUCAACCCCGGAAGUGCACUCGAAACUGCAUGGCUCGAGUACCGGAGAGGUUGGUGGAAUUCUCGGUGUAGAGGUGAAAUUCGUAGAUAUCGAGAGGAACACCGGUGGCGAAGGCGGCCAACUGGACGGAUACUGACGCUGAGACACGAAAGCGUGGGGAGCAAACAGG
Molecule: ribosomal RNA, 253 nt
Filed under: uncultured bacterium
Lineage: Bacteria
Description: partial 16S ribosomal RNA
Rfam family: Bacterial small subunit ribosomal RNA
Source: RNAcentral